CAAUACUUGUACAGCAUGAGAAUGAAUACAUCACAGAAAUUUUCUACAUUUCUCCUCUGCAUCAGAUCUUUCUAAAUUCAAUUCCGUCUUUUUCAUUAAAAAAAAACACAAAUUUUAUAUGGUAUCAGAGCUGUGAUGGAAGAAUCCAUCAAUACCAGUCAAACCACUCCUCCAAAUCCACCACCAAACACCAAUCUCAAUCACUCAGGAGCUGUUGCUCAUGAUCCAACGCAGCCCACCAGUCCUUACGAUAUUGGAAGCAACGAUACUUCAGGAGCCAUGCUCGUCACUCACACCUUGGACUCCAGUAACUACUUUUCUUGGGCUAAAUCCAUGAAGAGGGCCUUGCGGAUCAAGAACAAGCUUGGGUUCAUUGAUGGCACCAUCUGUGAACCUUCUGACCCCAAUGAUCACUUGAUGGAACACUGGCUGAGGAGCAAUGACAUCGUGAUAACAUGGAUGCAAAACACAAUGGCAGCCGACAUCAGGUCUAGCACUAUGUAUGCAGAGACUGCACAUCAACUUUGGUUGGAGUUGGAGCAAAGUUUUGCUCAGCAAAAUGCUCCUAGAAUUUUUGAAGUGAAGCAAAGCAUUACAAACUUAAAGCAAAACCAAGACUCAGUAAACGUCUAUUUUUCUAGACUUAAAACUUUGCUUGAUGAAUUAUUCAAUUAUGAAUCAAUUCCUAACUGCACCUGCGGAGGCUUGAAAGUUGUAGUCCAGAACCAGCAAAAGGAUUGUGUGAUGAAAUUCCUAAUGGGACUCAAUGAUACUUAUGAGGCUGUUAAAGCACAGAUACUACUAAUCAAAACCUUUUCCCAGCUUGAAUGAGGCUUACUCCAUCAUUCAGCAAGAGUAAAAGAGGAGAGAAAUUUCUAUUGACAGCCUGGGCAAUGAUUCUAUGGCUAUGGUGAGCAAAAGGAAUUUUAGCAAGCAAUUUACUGGACAACAAAGGAGAGAGAGGUAUUAUUGUACCUUCUGUAAAAUUCCAGGACAUUCUUUGGAGAGAUGUUUCAAAGUAAACCCAAACAAGCCCAUAUGUACUCAUUGCCAAAUGCCAGGCCACCCUGCUGAAAAAUGCCACAAAUUGCAUGGAUAUAAGGGAGAUGGGAAGAACACAUCUGUCAUGAAUUAGGCAAAUGCUACUGUUGGUUUUGAGCAGGAUGUUGUGAAGGACAAGCCUCAAGUGUCACUGACUCAGGAGCAGAAUACUCAGCUUCUGGCUCUCUUGAAACCUGCCUCCAGUAACCAAGCCUUCAUUCACUCGGUCAAUAACGUUCAUACCAUGGUUACACCUUGCUCCUCAGAUGCAAAUAGUCACAAAGUUUCUGGUAUAUCACUGUGUCUCUCUGCUCUUACUUCCAAAUCCAGUAAUAUUUCAAAAAUUCCUUGGAUUCUAGACACUGGAGCAACAGAUCACAUGAUCUGCUCCAAGUCCUUAUUUCAUUCUAUCCAAUCUACUGUUUCUUCUUCUGUAGCCUUACCAAAUGGCGAGAUAGUGCCCGUUACCCAUGUAGGAACGGCCAAAGUUACCAAGAAUCUUAUACUACAUGAUGUUUGUUGUGUUCCCAAUUUUUCCUUUAAUCUGAUUUCAGCAAAGAAAAUGUCUCAAGAACUAAAUUGUUGCCUUGUUUUCU
RNAcentral lists this long non-coding RNA (1637 nucleotides) under Olea europaea subsp. europaea. The record is from RNAcentral. Lineage: Eukaryota; Viridiplantae; Streptophyta; Magnoliopsida; Lamiales; Oleaceae.